UACGUAGGGCGCAAGCGUUAUCCGGAAUUAUUGGGCGUAAAGAGCUCGUAGGCGGUUUGUCGCGUCUGCCGUGAAAGUCCGGGGCUUAACCCCGGAUCUGCGGUGGGUACGGGCAGACUAGAGUGCAGUAGGGGAGACUGGAAUUCCUGGUGUAGCGGUGAAAUGCGCAGAUAUCAGGAGGAACACCGAUGGCGAAGGCAGGUCUCUGGGCUGUAACUGACGCUGAGGAGCGAAAGCAUGGGGAGC
Molecule: ribosomal RNA, 246 nt
Filed under: uncultured Actinomycetales bacterium
Lineage: Bacteria; Bacillati; Actinomycetota; Actinomycetes; Actinomycetales
Description: partial 16S ribosomal RNA
Rfam family: Bacterial small subunit ribosomal RNA
Source: RNAcentral